Molecule: microRNA precursor, 103 nt
Filed under: Marmota monax (woodchuck)
Lineage: Eukaryota; Metazoa; Chordata; Mammalia; Rodentia; Sciuridae
Source: RNAcentral
AGUGGGAUAGCUGGGUCAAAUGGUGGUACUAUUCCUAGGUUUUUGAGGAAUCUCCAUACUGCUUUCCAGAGUGGUUGUACCAAUUUGCAGUCCUAACAGCAAU